RNAcentral lists this ribosomal RNA (633 nucleotides) under uncultured bacterium. RNAcentral describes it as "bacterial SSU rRNA". It matches the Rfam family "Bacterial small subunit ribosomal RNA", at positions 385 to 1008 of the family's 1533-position model. The record is from RNAcentral.
GACUAUGCGACGCCGCGUGGAGGAUGAAGGCCUUCGGGUUGUAAACUCCUGUCAGGGGGGAAGAAACCUUACGUGUUAACAGCGCGUAAGCUGACAUCACCCCCAAAGGAAGCCACGGCUAACUCUGUGCCAGCAGCCGCGGUAAGACAGAGGUGGCAAGCGUUGUUCGGAUUCAUUGGGUGUAAAGGGUCCGUAGGUGGUUAUGUAAGUCUGGCGUGAAAUCCCACAGCUCAACUGUGGAACUGCGCUGGAAACUGCAUGACUUGAGUUUCGGAGAGGUGAGGGGAAUUCUCGGUGUAAGGGUGAAAUCUGUAGAUAUCGAGAGGAACACCAGUGGCGAAAGCGCCUCACUGGCCGAAUACUGACACUGAGGGACGAAAGCUAGGGGAGCAAACAGGAUUAGAUACCCUGGUAGUCCUAGCCGUAAACGAUGUGGAUUAGGUGUUGGGGAUGUUGAUCUCCCCGGCGCCGCCGUUAACACAUUAAAUCCACCACCUGGGGAGUACGGUCGCAAGACUGAAACUCAAAGAAAUUGACGGGGACCCGCACAAGCGGUGGAGCAUGUGGUUUAAUUCGAGGCUACGCGAAGAACCUUACCCAGGCUUGACAUGUAGUUGACAAGCCCAUGAAAGU